RNAcentral lists this ribosomal RNA (305 nucleotides) under uncultured bacterium. Its description in RNAcentral is "bacterial SSU rRNA". It matches the Rfam family "Bacterial small subunit ribosomal RNA", at positions 336 to 658 of the family's 1533-position model. The record is from RNAcentral.
UUCCUACGGGGGGCAGCAGUGGGGGAUAUUGGACAAUGGGGGAAACCCUGAUCCAGCGAUGCCGCGUGAGGGAAGAAGGUUUUCGGAUUGUAAACCUCUGUGGAGGGGGACGAUAAUGACGGUACCCCUUUAGGAAGCCACGGCUAACUACGUGCCAGCAGCCGCGGUAAUACGUAGGUGGCGAGCGUUGUCCGGAAUUACUGGGUGUAAAGGGAGCGUAGGUGGCAGGGCAAGUCAGAUGUGAAAACCCGGGGCUCAACUCCGGGAGUGCAUUUGAAACUGUCCAGCUAGAGUGCAGGAGAGGG